CUCCUCCAUCAAACACAUUCCAAAGCCUUCUGUCUUUCUUCAGAGAACCAUUCUAAACAGAACACCCAGUCUCUCUCAUUUCCUAUCAUACAUUUAGUAUCUCAAUGUUUAGCACAUUCCAACACCACAUUCAUUCUUCCCAUGACAGCCUGACCAGGUGAAUCCAGGAUCCCUUAUUGAUGUCACCUGUUAAAUUCACUUAAAUCAGUGUAGAUGAAGGGGAGGAGACGGGUUAAAUAAUGAUGCUUUGCCAUUCAGAGGGUGAAUGGGCAAGAAAAGAUUGAAAUCAAAUCAAAUUUGAUUAGUCACAAUACAGUAAAAAAAAAUGAAUAGGAACUAACAAAUAAUUAAAGAGCAGCAGUAAUAAUAAUCAUAGCGAGACUAUAUGCAGGGGGUACCGGUUAGUAAUGAGACUAUAUGCAGGGGGUACCGGUUAGUAAUGAGACUAUAUGCAGGGGGUACCGGUUAGUAAUGAGACUAUAUGCAGGGGGUACCGGUUAGUAA
Oncorhynchus keta (chum salmon) is the source of this 504-nucleotide long non-coding RNA. RefSeq lists it as uncharacterized. The record is from RefSeq and is a predicted model, not a curated record. The transcript is spliced from 2 exons. Lineage: Eukaryota; Metazoa; Chordata; Actinopteri; Salmoniformes; Salmonidae.